This 233-nucleotide long non-coding RNA is filed under the name Gossypium barbadense (sea-island cotton). RNAcentral describes it as "long non-coding RNA (GBAR_LNC023584)". The record is from RNAcentral. Lineage: Eukaryota; Viridiplantae; Streptophyta; Magnoliopsida; Malvales; Malvaceae.
GCAAGUGGGUGGAGUUGGUAAUGGCAGAGACGUGACGUGCGGCGCGGCGGUGGCAGGGGGCAGGUGGACUAGGUGCGGCGGCUAGGGUUAGGGGUUAGGUUUUUUCUGACAGUGUUUGGGUUAGGGUUUGUUUGUAAUUGGGCUGAGGGUCUAUUUUGGGUCUUGGGUUUGGGCUGGUGGGUUGUUUUGGUAAUGGGUUUGGGCUGGGUUAAAAUUGGGCUUGUACAAGAUCU